UGGGGAAUCUUGCGGCAAUGGGGGCAACCCUGACGCAGCGACGCCGCGUGCGGGACGGAGGCCUUCGGGUCGUAAACCGCUUUCAGCAGGGAAGAGACGAGACUGUACCUGCAGAAGAAGCCCCGGCUAACUACGUGCCAGCAGCCGCGGUAAUACGUAGGGGGCGAGCGUUAUCCGGAUUCAUUGGGCGUAAAGCGCGCGUAGGCGGCCCGGCAGGCCGGGGGUCGAAGCGGGGGGCUCAACCCCCCGAAGCCCCCGGAACCUCCGCGGCUUGGGUCCGGUAGGGGAGGGUGGAACACCCGGUGUAGCGGUGGAAUGCGCAGAUAUCGGGUGGAACACCGGUGGCGAAGGCGGCCCUCUGGGCCGAGACCGACGCUGAGGCGCGAAAGCUGGGGGAGCGAACAGGAUUAGAUACCCUGGUAGU
Molecule: ribosomal RNA, 424 nt
Filed under: uncultured Coriobacteriaceae bacterium
Lineage: Bacteria; Bacillati; Actinomycetota; Coriobacteriia; Coriobacteriales; Coriobacteriaceae
Description: partial 16S ribosomal RNA
Rfam family: Bacterial small subunit ribosomal RNA
Source: RNAcentral